Long non-coding RNA from Symphalangus syndactylus (siamang), 322 nucleotides. RefSeq lists it as uncharacterized. NCBI's taxonomy places the organism in Eukaryota, Metazoa, Chordata, Mammalia, Primates, Hylobatidae. The record is from RefSeq and is a predicted model, not a curated record.
UUAAUGAAAAAUAAACACCACCAGUGGAGUCUUCCCCGAAAAGUUGAUGUAACAACUUCUUAGAAUUGAUGUGAGCUACUGUUAUUAAAGCCAAGAAUGUUCUUUCUCAUUUGGACAUUCAAGAAUCAGCUCAUGUAUCUCUCCUAUUGUAAAACCUGACCUAAUGUCCACAGGGAGAGGUUCCUUAUUACUCUUUUCUGGAAGCAAAGAUUCAGAAAUCCAGACCCCUCCUGAAAGGAUCUGCUGGCACAAAGAUCUCAGAUGAGGGGCAUGUGAAGGCUGAACUCUGACCACCAUUCUUUGUCCUAAAUUUCUUCCUGAG